UGGGGAAUAUUGGGCAAUGGGGGAAACCCUGACCCAGCAACGCCGCGUGAGGGAAGAAGGUCUUCGGAUUGUAAACCUCUUUUACCAGGGAAGAAGAAAGUGACGGUACCUGGAGAAAAAGCCACGGCUAACUACGUGCC
This 140-nucleotide ribosomal RNA is filed under the name uncultured bacterium. RNAcentral's name for it is "partial 16S ribosomal RNA". It matches the Rfam family "Bacterial small subunit ribosomal RNA", at positions 355 to 509 of the family's 1533-position model. The record is from RNAcentral.